Molecule: ribosomal RNA, 396 nt
Filed under: uncultured bacterium
Lineage: Bacteria
Description: partial 16S ribosomal RNA
Rfam family: Bacterial small subunit ribosomal RNA
Source: RNAcentral
CCUACGGGUGGCUGCAGUGAGGAAUAUUGGUCAAUGGCCGAGAGGCUGAACCAGCCAAGUCGCGUGAGGGAUGAAUGUCCUAUGGGUUGUAAACCUCUUUUGUCAGGGAGUAAAGUCAUCCACGUGUGGGUGUUGGAGAGUACCUUAAGAAAAAGCAUCGGCUAACUCCGUGCCAGCAGCCGCGGUAAUACGGAGGAUCCGAGCGUUAUCCGGAUUUAUUGGGUUUAAAGGGUGCGUAGGCGGGUUAUUAAGUCAGCGGUAAAAUCGUGGGGCUCAACGCCAUCCAGCCGUUGAAACUGAUGAUCUUGAGUGGGCGAGAAGUAGGCGGAAUGCGUGGUGUAGCGGUGAAAUGCAUAGAUAUCACGAAGAACUCCGAUUGCGAAGGCAGCACACCGG